UACGAAGGGGGCUAGCGUUGUUCGGAAUCACUGGGCGUAAAGCGCACGUAGGCGGGUCGUUAAGUCGGAGGUGAAAUCCCAGGGCUCAACCCUGGAACUGCCUUCGAUACUGGCGACCUCGAGUAUGGGAGAGGAUGGUGGAACUCCGAGUGUAAAGGUGAAAUUUGUAGAUAUUCGGAAGAACACCAGUGGCGAAGGCGGCCAUCUGGACCAUUACUGACGCUGAGGUGCGAAAGCGUGGGGAGCAAACAGG
This 253-nucleotide ribosomal RNA is filed under the name uncultured bacterium. Its description in RNAcentral is "partial 16S ribosomal RNA". It matches the Rfam family "Bacterial small subunit ribosomal RNA", at positions 524 to 776 of the family's 1533-position model. The record is from RNAcentral.